This 450-nucleotide ribosomal RNA is filed under the name uncultured Glomus. Its description in RNAcentral is "SSU rRNA". It matches the Rfam family "Eukaryotic small subunit ribosomal RNA", at positions 569 to 1025 of the family's 1831-position model. Lineage: Eukaryota; Fungi; Glomeromycota; Glomeromycetes; Glomerales; Glomeraceae. The record is from RNAcentral.
AGCAGCCGCGGUAAUUCCAGCUCCAAUAGCGUAUAUUAAAGUUGUUGCAGUUAAAAAGCUCGUAGUUGAAUUUCGAGAUCAAAUUGUUGGUCGUGCCUCGGUACGUACUGGCAUUAUUGAUUUCUCCCUUCUGAAGAACCUUGAUGUCAUUAAUUUGGUGUCUUGGGGAAUCAGGACCGUUACUUUGAAAAAUUAGAGUGUUUAAAGCGGGCUCACGCUUGAAUACAUUAGCAUGGAAUAAUGAAAUAGGACGUUUGAUUCUAUUUUGUUGGUUUCUAGGAUCGACGUAAUGAUUAAUAGGGAUAGUUGGGGGCAUUAGUAUUCAAUUGUCAGAGGUGAAAUUCUUGGAUUUAUUGAAGACUAACUACUGCGAAAGCAUUUGCCAAGGAUGUUUUCAUUAAUCAAGAACGAAAGUUAGGGGAUCGAAGACGAUCAGAUACCGUCGUAGUC